AUCCUUUUGUGCUUCAUAAAUGUGGGUUUCCAAGCUUGUGCAUGAGAUGGCCCUCAAACCUUGUUACAGCGGUGCACUUUACCCGUCUGAUG
Macaca fascicularis (crab-eating macaque) is the source of this 92-nucleotide small nucleolar RNA. NCBI's taxonomy places the organism in Eukaryota, Metazoa, Chordata, Mammalia, Primates, Cercopithecidae. The record is from Ensembl.